UGGGGAAUAUUGGACAAUGGGCGCAAGCCUGAUCCAGCCAUGCCGCGUGAGUGAUGAAGGCCCUAGGGUUGUAAAGCUCUUUCACCGGUGAAGAUAAUGACGGUAACCGGAGAAGAAGCCCCGGCUAACUUCGUGCCAGCAGCCGCGGUAAUACGAAGGGGGCUAGCGUUGUUCGGAUUUACUGGGCGUAAAGCGCACGUAGGCGGACUUUUAAGUCAGGGGUGAAAUCCCGGGGGCUCAACCCCCGGAACUGCCUUUGAUACUGGAAGUCUUGAGUAUGGUAGAGGUGAGUGGAAUUCCGAGUGUAGAGGUGAAAUUCGUAGAUAUUUCGGAGGAACACCAGUGGCGAAGGCGGCUCACUGGACCAUUACUGACGCUGAGGUGCGAAAAGCGUGGGGAGCAAACAGGAUUAGAUACCCCUGGUAGUCCACGCCGUAAACGAUGAAUGUUAGCCGUUGGGGAGUUUAACUCUUCGGUGGCGCAGCUAACGCAUUAAACAUU
RNAcentral lists this ribosomal RNA (501 nucleotides) under uncultured bacterium. RNAcentral's name for it is "partial 16S ribosomal RNA". It matches the Rfam family "Bacterial small subunit ribosomal RNA", at positions 355 to 868 of the family's 1533-position model. The record is from RNAcentral.